CGGAGGAGGCAUGUGGUUUAAUUCGAUGAUACGCGAGGAACCUUACCUGGGCCCGAACGUAAGAUGACUGUAGGUGAAAGCUUACAUCUCUUCGGAGCAUUUUACGAGGUGCUGCAUGGUUGUCGUCAGCUCGUGCCGUGAGGUGUCGGGUUAAGUCCCAUAACGAGCGCAACCCCUACCUUUAGUUGCCAUCAGGUUAAGCUGGGGACUCUAAAGGAACUGCCUACGCAAGUAGUGAGGAAGGCGGGGAUGACGUCAAAUCAGCACGGCCCUUACGUCCAGGGCUACACACGUGCUACAAUGGCCGAUACAGAGGGCAGCUACCUGGUGACAGGAUGCAAAUCUCCAAAGUCGGUCUCAGUUCGGAUCGGAGUCUGCAACCCGACUCCGUGAAGUUGGAUUCGCUAGUAAUCGCGCAUCAGCCAUGGCGCGGUGAAUACGUUCCCGGGCCUU
This 453-nucleotide ribosomal RNA is filed under the name uncultured Sphingobacteriales bacterium. RNAcentral's name for it is "bacterial SSU rRNA". It matches the Rfam family "Bacterial small subunit ribosomal RNA", at positions 930 to 1382 of the family's 1533-position model. Lineage: Bacteria; Pseudomonadati; Bacteroidota; Sphingobacteriia; Sphingobacteriales. The record is from RNAcentral.